UAAUAUUUUGUCAACUUUAAUGGAAUAUGCUAACAGCAUCAGGUAAAUAUGAUGGAAUAUUCUAUUAUUUAGUGGAAUAUUCUCUAACGGCGUUAAAUAUUCUUUCCGUGUGCUAGGCACAUGCCUGCGCGUGGGACGUUGGAAAUUUUUUCUAAAAAUAUGGGAAUGCUCGUGAUGUUGAGUAGGCGACGAUGGUAUAUUCAAACACCCAAAUCGAACAACGUAUGAGAAGUUAUUACACAGUUUUACUUAUGUGCUUAAAAUUGACGUUAAAGUAGUGGUUUCACAUAUAGGUGAAACAUUUUUAGAGGACGAGCGCAGCCAGGUGAGACUAGGGGGUUAUGACCCGGCUACAUACCAGUGAAUGGGCUUUUGAUUUUUUGUAUAUACGUAUAUAUGCUUUAUGUUUUCCCAUAAAUGGUUUUAAAUGGAUUUACGUUUUUAAAAUUCCAUGUCAUAUUUGAUUUAUAUUUUAGCAUAUGAUUUAGGAUAGCUUUGCAUAAUAUUGCAUGUUAUUGCGGAGGUCAAGGUAAGUUCAGGUGAGUACACAUUGUUGGUUAGAUUGCAUAGUAGUUAGUGAUAAAUAGUGUGCAUAAAAUUCAUUGUCCUACACCCCGGUGUUAGUGCUCCGCCCAAGGCCAGGGCCUAGCCUUCACGUGAUCGUUCACCUCCUGCA
RNAcentral lists this long non-coding RNA (676 nucleotides) under Malus domestica (apple). RNAcentral describes it as "long non-coding RNA (MDOM_LNC017410)". The record is from RNAcentral. Lineage: Eukaryota; Viridiplantae; Streptophyta; Magnoliopsida; Rosales; Rosaceae.